AUGAUUAAUAGGUAUUGGUGGAGCUAGACGGACAAGGAAAAUAAAGUGCAUUGGGUCAGUUCGAAGAGACUAACCAGGUCAAAAAGAAGUGGAGGCAUGGGGUUUAGGGAUUUACACGCGUUCAAUCUGGCCAUGCUAGCAAAGCAAGCAUGGAGGCUGCUCCCAAAUCCCACCUCAUUAUGUGCUCAGGUGCUUUCAGCAAGAUACUACCCAGAACGUUCAAUUGUACAAGCAAGUCCAAGAAGUGGCAUCUCUUAUGUAUGGUGAAGCAUUCUAAAAGGCGUUGAACUACCGAAGAAGGAGAUCAUAUGAAGAGUAGGGAGCGGCAAGGAUAUUAACAUAUGGUCUGACCCACGGAUCACGAGAGGCAGCACCAGAAAGGUCAUCACCCAAAAGGGUAAUAACUUGAUAACUAAAGUCAGUGAGCUAAUUAACCCAAUCACGAACAAGUGGGACGAAGAACUAGUGAAGCAGACAUUUAUUCCGGAAGAUACAAGAAUUAUCCUUCAGAUCCCAGUCCAAGACCAUAUUGAGGACUUUAUGGCAUGGCACUAUGAUAAAAAAGGUAUACUUUCAGUUAAAUCUGCAUAUAAAGUUGCAAUUGAUUUGCAGCUCGGGAAUCUAGCUCAGGACUAA
RNAcentral lists this ribosomal RNA (636 nucleotides) under Triticum aestivum (bread wheat). RNAcentral describes it as "partial small subunit ribosomal RNA". Lineage: Eukaryota; Viridiplantae; Streptophyta; Magnoliopsida; Poales; Poaceae. The record is from RNAcentral.